CUAUCUGGGUGAUCAUUCAACACAAGGGAAUGGCUUGAGAUACUUCCAACAUGUUCAAAUGGGGUCUAUUCAUCAGUCAAAACGUUAAUCUUGAAGGAGCAAAAGUUUGUUCAUGAGCUGUCAUGCUCGCUAGGUGAGCAGAAGGGGUCGCCUAGCGAGUCCCAAGAAAAGCCACCAGAAUCACCUAUGCUCAGAGGAAUUUCUUGAAUUGUCAUGCUCGCUAGGCGAAGCCCACGCGUUUUGAAAAAAAAAACGAAAAAAAACAAAUAAAUAAAUAAAUAAAUAA
Molecule: long non-coding RNA, 286 nt
Filed under: Lathyrus oleraceus (garden pea)
Lineage: Eukaryota; Viridiplantae; Streptophyta; Magnoliopsida; Fabales; Fabaceae
Description: Pisum sativum (pea) long non-coding RNA (PSAT_LNC017165)
Source: RNAcentral